UGUUAUUGCUAACAGGAUGUGGAUGUGUAUAUGUAUGUGUGUGUGCGCGCGUAUUCAGAAUGGUGUGCAUGUUUACUUUAACAAUUUGCUUCAACGUACAGAGGAAUGAACACCAGAAAUUUAAAGAAUUAUCUUUGAACGUAAUAAUACAUUAUUACAAUUUCCUCUUUUAAUUUUAAAUUUACAAACAAGAAAAAUAAUACGAUAGAGCUUCGAUUAUCCGAAUUAAAAUCAUGGUACAUGCUGUUCAAAUACUCGAAUUUUUCAGAUGAUCAACUUUGUUCUUAUGUCAGAGAAGCUCAUUUACUUCGAACGAAUUUACACAUUUCUCAUGUUCGUUUUCCAAUCUAUCUUACAAAGAGUCAUAUGCAAAUUUUUCACUAAUCGGAAUUUCAAUGAUCGAUUCUUUCGAUAAUCGAGAUUCUACUGUACUGGUAAAACAGAACUAAAUAUCGUUUUUGUCGUCCUUAGUUUACUUUCUAAAAAAUUCUAAAGAGCUAUCUAAUGUUAGCUCAAACUAUAGUUCUAGCUAUGUCAACGCGAUGAUGUUGCAUUUUUAGUAAUAAAAUUUUACAAAUGCGGGAAUUGCGCUCAUUUGUUAACGAGCAAUUCGUCAUAGGUUAACCGUUCCAUGGAAUCCCUGCAAAAUUUCAAGCUUCUGUUUGCGAGAGGAUGAUGAAAGGAAUACGUUUCACUUAACAAACAUGCAUAAAAUUAUAGCAUUUGUGCGCAUCUGACAAGCGACCAUUAAUCUUUUUAUUCCUGUGAUUUUCGAAUUUCACAUUUUAUAUAUCCCGUAUUUUAGCAAAAUUUCGGAUCAAUAAUUGCACCUUGUUUAAUAUUCUUUUCGCAUUUCGACCUUAUUAAUGACUAAUAUCAAUAGCUAGUAAAUUAUGCAGCAUAGUUUGCAACAUUUUGGACGUAACUAGAAAUCGUAGUAAUAUUAAUUGAAACGAUAUCAAUUAUGUUAAACUUCAUUAUAAUUUUGUUUUACAGUACACUGCAUUUUGUGAUUACCGUAAUGUAAUGACUACUGCAAUUAUUGAAAACAAUGAAAUGGACAUUAAAGGAAUAUUACGAUUAAUAUCAACGAUAAAUUGGUAUGAAUUUUUACGAUUAAAGCUCACAAGAACGAAACAAUAUAGACACCGUGUCAUCAUAACAUGCAAUACUCCAUUCGUUGAAAUUUCCAAAAGGUUAUAGCUUGUUGACCGAUAGAGAUUUAAAUUCUGUAUUUUUUAAAGAUGUUCAAUUAUUUUUAUUCGUCGUAUAAAACUUUGCAAAUCUAACUGGUACUCACUACAUAAAAAACAUUCCAUCUCUAUUUCUAUUUUAUUAUUUUUUGGUAACUUAACUUAUAAUUUGAAAGCACCUUGUAUUCUAUCUUUCUAGUCAUACGAGGCAUCCUCGCGCGACAGAUUAAGAACGAGUCUAUGAUUAUUGUAUUGAUGAGUAUUGGCGUUUCGUCGUUUUCCGAAGCCGUACACGACAAAUCUUCCCUCGAAUCUCUAGAGACGAAAAGUUAUGCCAUACUUCGCAGGUUUCGUGUACCACGUACGAAGAUAACAAGACACUGUCCAUUUACAGAUUGCUCGUGUUGUUGCUCGUAUUUUUCAUGGCCAAAGCUUAGGUUACAUAUUGCAUCGGUUGCACGAAUAAAUGAAUAUACUUAAGUAACAUAGGUUUCAGAAUCACAGUGGUGUAAAUCAAUCCAUUGUAAUUCUUCGUAAAAUGAUAUACUACAAUUUUUAUUAUACAAUAUUCGUUAUAUUUUUCAAAGUCAUGAAAACGUAGUAAAGAAUAAAGUUAUAACAUAAUUGGUUAUAAAAUCGAAGGGAAGAUACGUUUAAGAGUUGAAAUAUGUAGUCCAGCGAAUAACGUAAAACGUUAAGAAAACCUUAGCAUUACAUCGAAGAUAUCGUUUCGAGACAUUCGUAGGUAUUGCCUUUUAUCUCCUUUCGAAAACGUCGCUAUUGCUUGUCUUCGACAAGGAAACGAAGCUGUUUGUUAGCUCCGUGAACGUGUUGAGACAUCGAGCAAAAGAAAUCCACGCAAUCGUGUCUUUGUUGUCAUUCCACGUUGCAAACAAGACUGAUACGGAUAUCAAUUUCGCGAGAAUUUCUUCAAAGAAGACACUUUAUAGCGUCGAAUUACGGGCAGACGAGCACUGGUCGUAAAAUAAAAUCGAUGCCCUCUAUAAACGCGUUUCACGAUCGCAUCCAUGGGGACAUUUUCAUUUUUUUGACGGUUACGAUAAAUGGACGGCAAUUUGCGUGCUCUAUGCAGUUUACUUGGCGCCGGACGUCGAACAAUUCUUUUUCGAGAUGGUACUCGGUCGAAUGCCGUCGUUCGACGCUGUGGCGACUUUUUAAUGGAAGAAGAAAGAUAAAAAGAACAAAAAUGAAAAGGAUUGUGAGUGAAGAGAGGAAAGAGAAAAUAGAAGAGAAGAAGGAAAAGAAAAAUUGGAGUCCGAUGAAUGGAGAACGUCGGGCGUAUCUAUUCAUACAGAGAAUCCGGGACUAAUUUCGUUGAGCUUUUCUAUUCCCCGCGAUUCUCUUUUAAACGUCUUCGGCCGUUUUCCUCUCUCACACGGUCGUUGAUAACGCGUCACUCGUUAAUACAGGCUUGACCGAGUUUUUAAUUGAAUGACCGCGGAAUGGCGCGAAAACCAAUCGAUAUGUAGCCCGGCAGAUAUAAAAUAUUCAAAGACGUUCCAUCUUGGUAACAGGGGCACAAUUUGUAAUCCCCUUUUAUCCGAUCCGCUCGUUUUCGCGCGUCUUCAUUAGAGAAUCGAUGCGUCACUUUGAAAUACUGUCUCUCCUCCGUGAAAAUUAAACACGACGCGGUUUCUGGUUUUGUCGAACGUCGACGUAACGCAUAUCGUAGAGACAGGAAAUGAUAUUGAAAACGAUAAUCUCACAGAUGAUGACGCAAAUAGCGAAGAGAUGUAUUGGCAGAAAUUUUUCGCUAAUGAUGUGAACAAAUGUAGAUUAUGAUAAAAAUCACGAAAUUAGAUUUAUUAUAAAUCAUACGGAUUAUUUAUGUUUGAAUGACGUAUACGAAAUUGUGCGCGUAAAAUUUCGGAUAAAUUAAAAAAUUCGCCCGAAGUUGUAAAUUCAAUGCAACAGUAAUUUGUAAUUUGAUACAGCUUUCAAUUUUCCAACCACGUUUAUAAUCAAAAUCUAAAUGUUCUUUCCUCAAUAACCACUUGCAUUUUCUCCUACUUCGAACUUUAUUCUAUCAAAAAGUAUCCACGAUCGCGUUCAAGCCUCACGAAUAGCGUGAUCGAAGUCGCUUCUUAACGCAAUCCCCGAGGAACGUACGUAAAUAUCACAUGUUUGCAGAACGGUAAAAUUGAAUCGCAGACGAAUUAAUUCGUUAUUCCCUAUCUGCGAAGUCGGUAAACUAUCACGAACGGUGUGCAAAUUUCAUAGUCUCUAUUUAAUACACUCCUACAACUAGAACCGAACAAAAUUUAUAACUGAACAUUACCUAUUGUAUAUAGUAUCGAAUUAUCAGACACACCAAUGAACCACUCAAUCCCUGGAAGAACUGGUUGUAAUGUUAGACGAAAAUCGAAAUAAAAUUCUUAAUGUUUAAUGGCUUCACAACCAAAACUCUUAUUCAAUGGAAAAAAAUAAUUUUUUUUCGAAAUUUGAUCAGUAAUCGCGUAUUUAUUAUUAUUAAUUAUAAUAACAUUGUGAAAAUGAUAAAAAAUAAAGUUGAUCAGUUUGGUUUCUGCGAGGCUCAUUUAUGAAUGGCAAUGUAAGUGUGCACAUUCAUGACAGUAAAAACACACAACAUUAAUUAUUGAAAAUUCUACGAUAUCCGGAUUGCGAAAGUCUUAAAUUUGUGAUUAAGAUCUCGAUUAAUAUAUCUGCGAUGAAACAUGCGUUGGCACUGUUACAGCGCAUGUAAUGGUACUGACAUGUAUCACUCGUAUUACGCACGCGGUCUUAAACAUGUAAUACAUGCGCACGUGUCGUCGAAAACGGCUCAAAUCUUGAUUUUCUUGCAAUGCGAAUUGGAAUCGUAGCUACCUAGCCCCGUAAUUACCCGUAGAAAUGCAAAUUCGUGAUACGAGCAGAAUACCCGAGUAACUAUGCCAGUCACGCUCAUGACGUUAUCUUGAUGAUACAGUUCUAACAAGAUCGCCGUUGCAAGGCGUGUAACAAACGAUCCCAUAUGCGAAGUUUUCACAUCGAUGCAAUAACGCCGUACGAUAUGCAUGUAAUUUCUAAUCUGAAAGAUUAAUUAACCUGAUACUUGACCUGAACCAAUAAUGAACCUGACGAGCGUGGUCCAAGAAAAUUGCAUUCGUGUCCACUAUGAUCAUGUUUCCGGCGAUAGUGCUUAUGACGUGGAUCACAUUUUACGGAGUCAAGCUUGAUGAUUCUUACAUAGAUUUUACUAUAUCAUUUCCAAGAUGCGUACCGAAUUCCAUUGGCCUCUAAGAUAUUCUUUCUCGAGAUUGAAACUAGCGUAUCCUUGGAGAUGUGGGAGGAACGAGCGUCUGGCUGAAUAUUUUAUCAACGAAACACCAAAAGCGAAAGAUGAAAGUACGUUUAAUAAAUCAAAUUCGACCACGUUUUCUGUUCCCUUCUGAAAUUUCUGAAUGUUAUUAGACUGAAGAACGUGAUGAGUUAUACUAUAAGGAUUACGAAAUAUACACGUAAAAGAAGGAUCUUGAUAAAUGGGUAAAUUUAUUGAAUAAAUGUAUGUACAUAAAAUUUAUACGUCGUAUAUAAAGUAGGAGAGAUUUACCGUAUAGGGAUGGAAUUCUUUAGUACGUACAUGUGUAUAUAUUUAAAGCAUACAUAUAUGGUCGAAUUUCCAGGAGGUAUAGGUUAUACAUAACAGAUUUUUGGUCAAAGUGCAUAUUAUCAUUCGUCUAACACGUGGUAAAUGUAAACCACCCCAUAAUAGGACGCAUAUAUGGUUACUCUGAAGUGACCUGACACAUAUGUAACCCAAUAAAGACAAUAUGGACCGCACUGGACUCAACAGAGACAAUAUUGGGAACGUGGGUUCCGUUAGAGACGUUAUCAAAUACAUAGGGCCCAACGAGGAUGUUACUAGAUACAUUGACUUGAUAAAGAGCAUACUAAAAAUGUAAGCUAAUAAUACCUAUAAUAUACAUAUACAAAUUAUACAGGGCGGGUUGAAAAUCAUAGUAUAACCAACCAUGAUACAAAAAAAAAUUUUUCAUAUGUCGGCUUGUUUCUGAGAAAACCGAGUCUGAAAAUUUGAUUGUCAGAAAUGAUUGUUUAAUUAUUAUUGCGAAGCUGGGAAUUCCAAAGAAUUCAAAAAGUCCACGUAUCGAGGAGUACAAAAGCCAAAAGGUUAUUAAUUCAAAAACACAAAAAUCCAAGAGUUCAAAGUGUACAAAACCCCAAGGGUUUAAAAGACCAAGAGAUCACGACUUCAGGAACCCAAAAGUUCAAGAGUUCAAGGUUCCAAAAAUCCAAGAAUCCAAGAACCCAGAAAGUAAGGAGACCAAAAAUUCGAAGAUUUAGACGCUCAUAAAUCGAAAAGCCCAGAAGAUUGGAGGAAAAUCCAGACGCAGAGAAUCUGAAAAGGUCUGGGAAUCCUAGGGAUUUGGCUUAUGUUGUUUUCUUCUGCGAGAUUUUGGUAUUCAGUUGUUUGUGUCGUAUUACAUUUUAUGCAUGUAUGUUCUCAGUAAUUGCGUGUAUGUUAUGUCAUGAAAAAUAGAUAUUAUUUUAAUACGUUAUCGUAUUGAUUAGACAUGUAGCCGAGUUUACUAAAACUUGUGUCACUGAUUUCGCAUAUAUAUGUAUGCUUUGCAGACAUCUACAGAAAAUUUUUCGUAUUAUUUAGAAUGUCUAUGAAGUUUCAAUCCUCGUAAAAAGCAGAUUCACUGUUCAUACUAGAACAUUGUUGAUAUUCUGUUCUUCAAAAUUUGGUGUGAAAUAACUAUUUUCAGUUCAAACAAUUAACUUUAUUAUUCUCUUCAUCACAAGCUAUAAGAGAUUGUAUUAUAUGUUCAUUUAUAAACACAGUUUAUGAAUUUAUUGCAUUUAUAAAUAUUUGUAAAACACGUGAAAAGACUGUUAAUAUUUUUUUCGUGACAGUACGUCAUAUCAUAUACGUAUACGUCAUUAAUAUUCAAAGAUCUAUGAAAGCGCUAAUUCAGGGAGUAGAACAGCCAAUUUAAAAACAAGCCGACAUUUUUCGAACACUUGUUGGGACACUUACAGAGUAGUUACUGCAAUUAUCUUCACCCAGUUAACCGUGAUAAACAUUUGUUGCAUUCGAAGAUGAUUAUAAGUUGCGCACACAGAACUUUUAAAGGUGUAACUGUAUGUAUACGGAUCGUUAACCUCUGCGCUGCUACGAUCUAAUUUGCCGUUCAAAUGUAAACUUAUUACAUGGAUCCAUAAUGGAAAUCAGGGUUGUAAUGGAGUGGCCCAAUUCUUGCUUUUUGUCUUGCUUAAUGAAAGUAUCGACCAUGCAGGUGUAUGGAAGAAGCCUCGUUUCGAUGCCUUUGCAUUGAAAAUGUGCUAUUUAAAGGAAUAGUCCUCGAUAUUUCAAAGCUAUGAAUGUAGAUAGACACAUGUAUAAUGUAUAUUUUUGGAGCAUACUCAACCUGCUCAACAUGCUCUUGUUUAUAGCAAAUAUUUAGCCUGUGGCUCGAUGCAGUAGAAUUCCAUAAUUUCCUCCAUUGCCUAUUAUUCAUAAAACAGACAAUCAAAUAAUAGGAGUUCACAUUCAGAUAAAAGAAAUUAAUGAAAUUCGGAUAAAGGUCUAUCAUAUUCUAAAAUUCUCUGUACAAACUUAGUUUACUGGCGAAGUUUUUCUCUGUGUGAAAUCGCUACUAAGUUUGUAUUCCCUGGAAACUUUACCAUACCACGUAUAAAAGUCUUUAGAUGAGAGAAUUUUUCUGAAGGAACAGGAUAAUUAAUUAGUUUAUUGGAAGUUCUCAUCGCAAACCGAUACAACCGAUAAUACAAAUUAAUUGUUUUAAGAAGCUAAUUUCUCAAGAAUAAUUCCACCUCGGUGAAACAAUAAUUUUCCCACUUAAUAAAGUCACUGCGACAAAAGAAGAUCCUAGCAGUCCGUGAAUAAUGGUUCUACAUCGAUGGAUCUUAAUGAUGCACCGAGAAUUCCGACUAGCAUGUUCGAUGAGAUGCAAUAUAUGUUGUCAGGUGGUUCAGGCACGAUCCUUCAUCUUCGAGGGCAUGUUAACCUAAUUUGCAUUCGGUUGUCAAGUACUGUAGUUAUAGUACAGCAUGCU
Bombus terrestris (buff-tailed bumblebee) is the source of this 7255-nucleotide long non-coding RNA. RefSeq lists it as uncharacterized. The transcript is spliced from 2 exons. The record is from RefSeq and is a predicted model, not a curated record. NCBI's taxonomy places the organism in Eukaryota, Metazoa, Arthropoda, Insecta, Hymenoptera, Apidae.